This 428-nucleotide ribosomal RNA is filed under the name uncultured bacterium. RNAcentral's name for it is "bacterial SSU rRNA". It matches the Rfam family "Bacterial small subunit ribosomal RNA", at positions 355 to 776 of the family's 1533-position model. The record is from RNAcentral.
UCGAGAAUUUUUCUCAAUGGGGGAAACCCUGAAGGAGCGACGCCGCGUGGAGGAUGAAGGUUUUCGGAUUGUAAACUCCUGUCAUCCGGGAGCAAUGCUGCGCGUUUAACUGACGCGUAGUUGAUAGUACCGGAAGAGGAAGAGACGGCUAACUCUGUGCCAGCAGCCGCGGUAAUACAGAGGUCUCAAGCGUUGUUCGGAUUUAUUGGGCGUAAAGGGUGCGCAGGCUGUAUGGUAAGUUUGGUGUGAAAUCCUGGGGCUUAACCCCAGAAUUGCACUGAAUACUGCCGUGCUAGAGGACUGGAGAGGAGAUUGGAAUUCACGGUGUAGCAGUGAAAUGCGUAGAUAUCGUGAGGAAGACCAGUGGCGAAGGCGAAUCUCUGGACAGUUCCUGACGCUCAUGCACGAAGGCCAGGGGAGCAAACGGG